Molecule: long non-coding RNA, 664 nt
Filed under: Mytilus galloprovincialis (Mediterranean mussel)
Lineage: Eukaryota; Metazoa; Mollusca; Bivalvia; Mytilida; Mytilidae
Source: RNAcentral
AAGAUGAACAAAUCGUGCUAGGUCAAUGAUAUUAUUAUAAGACUUUUUACGAAGAUGCAUUAUUAUUAGUACAUCUCAUUUCCAUUAAGGUUAUGCAACACUGACCCCUAAGUCAAGGUCUAUUGACUUUAUAAAAUUUUUGCUUACUGUACGUGUUUGUGAUUAGGUCUGAUUUAGGGGAAGAACUAGCGACAGUCAUGGAUUCAGAAUUUUCAAGAUGGCCAAGUGACUGCUCUAAGAGGGGCCCCACUCAAGUCAUGCAUCAGUGAUUCCUGAUCUCUGUGUCAACAGUUUAUUGUUUUGCGUAUCAAGUAAAUAUCAAAUUUUCAUUUCCUUCUGAUUGCAUACAGUCAUGGAAACACUUUAUUUUCACUUGAGCUUGUACCUUGUAUAUAUGUUUGUUUUAAUUUCUGUUCAAAAGCUGAGAUUUUGUUAUAUUUAUAAUAUUUAUUAUUAGUACCAAAAGUUCUACUUUUCUAUGUAUUUAUAUUCUUUAUGAAUUCUGUAUAUAUAUAUAUAUAUACCUAACUGGGUAGGCCAAUAAAACAUCUGAUGACAUAUCUAUUGCUUAAUAAUUUAGUUUUGGAUGUAUCAAAAAUGUCUUCUGAUUGGCUGAAAGUUUUUGUACAUCAGCUCAAAGGCAAAAUUUUGUCAAGUGAAUGUG